CUUAGACUUUUGUCAUUGUGACCGCCUCCCUAGCUGCAAGUGUUAGCCCUGUAGCUGGAGUUGUUUUCUGGAGUAUGCUGUGAACAGAACAGUGUAAUAACCCAUGGCAGGACACCAGUGUGAUGAUCUCAUAUGGCCAGUAUGCUGCUUUUCCUCCAUCCUGAGUCCCCUCAGGGAGUACCUGUGGGCAGCUACAGUGGCUGAUGGCUUCAAGGCAUGAACAUCAUUUGUUUACUGAAAUGGCAGGUGACACAUACCUGAUUCAAGGUAAGUAGCCAAGGGUUGGAUUUCAGUUAGCAGGCUAAGGAAGUACUCAGUGUUUCUCAAAGCUUGUAAUCCUUUACUAGCAUUCUUGUUGUGAGCCACAUGGGAAGUCCAUUUACUAGCAUUCUUCAAAAAGAAGGGGACCCAAGUUUAGUGCUUGAAGGAACUUUGAAAUAAUCUCAUUUCGAUCUU
RNAcentral lists this long non-coding RNA (456 nucleotides) under Sus scrofa (pig). RNAcentral describes it as "lncRNA (ENSSSCG00070016768.1)". Lineage: Eukaryota; Metazoa; Chordata; Mammalia; Artiodactyla; Suidae. The record is from RNAcentral.